Molecule: unclassified non-coding RNA, 334 nt
Filed under: Bombus terrestris (buff-tailed bumblebee)
Lineage: Eukaryota; Metazoa; Arthropoda; Insecta; Hymenoptera; Apidae
Description: misc RNA ENSBTSG00005034755.1
Source: RNAcentral
AGUCCAAUGUUAUACUCUCCUGAGUUCAUUUUUUAAUCUUCUGUAAGUCAAUCUAUUGUCUUUUGAUUCUGUUGAGUCGUGAUAUUAGAUCUGUGUCUAGUAGAUAGUGUCAUGGGUAAUAAGACAAAAUCGCGGCCGAAGAAAGAAUACAAGCAAGAGUUCUCUUCCUGCCCGGACGUAGCCAGGACUCCUCGGCUACAUAAUUAGCCGACAUCUAUCAGCCCGGAGCUAUCAGCCCCGUAUCCAGCCUGGAACUACCCUUGAAUCCACAUUGUAUACGGCAUUUUUUACCAUCGAAUGGGACAAAAUUAUCUAUAACGCGUAUACUCCGAAC